AAGAAGAAUAGGGUUUGAAGUAUUCACUGAAGAAGAAUAGGGUUUGAAGUAUUCACUAUUUGAAGAAGAAGAAGAGACUAGUUUGUUUGCCUUCCAAAAUGAGAAGCAUGCCUCCUGGGGUGAGGAGGAUGCAAUCUUGAAUUUGACGAAUGAAGGUGACCCUAAAGAAGGUGAGGCCAACAACUCAUAAGAUUACCUGUACGAACGAAUUGAGAGAACUGCAGGAAGAAAUUUUUAUUCUCAUAGAACGAAUAUACAGUAUGGAAGAUGAAAUGACAAAUUUCAGAAAUAAAUUUACAAAAGAGUGGGAGUUUUCUGCAGUGCAAAAGGAAUUGGCCGCCCUCAAUACAAUUUUUACCACGCAAUGUUUCAGUGCCAGUAGAAAUGAAUUCUGUGUGCCGAGUUCCAAUUUUGGAAAUGGAAGAGACGAAUGAGCAGCUAGACAAGCGAACCCUGUUUGAAACACUUGAUCACGUCUGGCUGGACAAAGUAAUACAGAGUCAGCCGGUGAUGGAAGCUAUAGACGCUGAGAAAUUCGACGGGGCGGAGACGUUUCUAACCUUGCCACUGGACAUUCUGAUGAAUUUGUGGAUAAUGAUGUGGGUUUUUUUGCGUCCGGGGAAUAUGAUGCAGACCUUUACGAUAGAGAUGGUGAGUGCAUUUUGAGAAGGAAUCACGGACGAUUGUGAAUAUGGGGGAGUAUCGAUCCUCUGACGUUUGUGUUUCUAGUUCUUUGAACAGUCCUUGUGGUGUGAGCUCCAAUGACAGUAGAUAGGAGAAAAUGGGUGAUGAUGAGGAGCGAAUCAAGGAAAGCUUGCUGGCUGAAAAUCUAUUUCUUGUAAUGAUUGCCUUGGAGUGCGGUGUUCCAUUCCAGGUGGAGUGUGCACUGGAAGCUCUGCCCGAAGAGUAUCUUACUCUACUGGACGUAGAAAAGGGCAUAGAAAAGAUACAUGGUGAAUUGAAAACCGUUGUAUUGUUUCCGAAGAGUUCGGAGUACAGGAGUCAAGGGAAACCCUGCUGUAAGGCGAGCUAGCCCAUUCCCAUCGAGUCCCUGAGACCGUAUAUCGAGAGGUUGGAAGGGGAAGAGCCACCGAUGGAGUAUUCUGAGAGCUAUAUGUGUAUUACGUCCCAUGUAUCUAAAACCAUUACACGAAAGAUUUUUAAUGAUCCUGGAGAGGCCAAUGUAAGGAGCAGUUAAUGUUUCCAAUCGGCGUUUUUUGAGGCCUCCAGCUGCUGUUACUUAGACGCUCCAGUUUUACCCGAUGAAGAUUUUCUCAGCGUUUUCUUGGACGUUGUUUCUUGUAUGGAGAAGUUGCUCGGCAAUCCGGGACUUGAUGCCAUAUAAUGGUGAUCCUUUACAUAUUUUGUUAAGGGGGAGCGCAGUAAGAGGUGCAUGUAUUGUGCAUGCGUAUAAGGGUUCUGUGGAUGGAGGAGUGUUUCUUGAGUCUGCAGAAAGUGGUUCUCUUCAUCAUGGAUUAAUAUGCAAGUUUGUGCUUGCAAGAGUAAUAGGCACUGAUGUUUUUAAUUCCGAUUUGACUUGGAAAAGGCUUAUUCGUAGUGUUUGUGAGCAAAAUUUGGCAAAAUUGAAGUCUUUGAUGUGCCUGAUUGCAAUGUGAUGAAUUGGAAAUGCAGGAAUGUUGAGAGCAUGGCUGUGCCGGUUGGGUUUCAAGUGGGAGAUUGUUGGGAUGUGAAGCCCAACUGUCACGACCAUUCGUCUUCUCAAGACUCUUCACUUGAAGGCUCUAUAUGAUUAUAAAUACAUGAAUACAGUCCAUGCUUGAAGUGUUGUAUUUGACAUUAUUGAUUAAUAGAGAUUACUCCUUGCGUUUCUUGUCGACGUAGCCACUUAGUGUGAAACACAAACACGAAGUUCCAGGCUGUUGUGAAUAUACUUCUGAGUAUAUAUGUGUAAAGCUAUGCGAUGAUCUCCACAAGGAAGAAAGUGCCACAGCAAAUAAUUCUGGCAAAGCAGAUUUAAAUGCUGUAAAUGAGCAGCCAUGAGAAUAGAAGCACUUUCAGAAAUAUAACAAUAUGGCAUAUAGAAAGUU
Molecule: long non-coding RNA, 2048 nt
Organism: Cryptomeria japonica (Japanese cedar)
Lineage: Eukaryota; Viridiplantae; Streptophyta; Pinopsida; Cupressales; Cupressaceae
Exons: 3
Source: RefSeq, a predicted model, not a curated record